Non-coding RNA from Epinephelus lanceolatus (giant grouper), 610 nucleotides. The record is from the annotation of a RefSeq genome assembly. NCBI's taxonomy places the organism in Eukaryota, Metazoa, Chordata, Actinopteri, Perciformes, Serranidae.
GGAGUCAGUCAGAGCAUUUCCAUAGAGAGCCACUUUGCAUCAGCAGCACCAUGCUCCAGUGCUCUGGGAGAGUUUAUAGUCCUGAGAGUUGAACACUGGAUGACUGACAGCUGUCCUUCAUGACAACAGAAGCCACAGAAAUCCUCCUCUUCAUCAAAAACAUGACUUUGACCUCCGUCCUCAUCUGGACUCUCCUCUGCUGCUGCUUCACAGAGUCCAGAGGUCAGGUCACAGUGACUCAGCCUGGAGCAGUGAGCUCUGCUCUGGGAGGCUCCGUCUCCAUCAGCUGUAGGACCAGUCAGAGGGUUUAUGGUGGGAGCUACUUGCACUGGUACCAACAGAGAGAUGGAGAAACUCCUAAACUGCUCAUUUAUGCAACUAGCACUCGAGCAUCAGGGAUUCCAGGUCGUUUUUCAGGCAGUGGAUCAAACUCUGACUUCACUCUGACCAUCAGUGGAGUUCAGGCUGAAGAUGCAGCAGUUUAUUACUGUCAGAGUUAUCAUGAGGUCAACAGUCAGAGUGUGUUCACACAGUGAAAAAGCGUCGUACAAAAACCUCCCUCAGUCAGACUGAACAGAAACUGAAGUGACUGCUGCAGCUGGAAGCUACU